UUUCUUUUUAUUACGAGUUCUUAGGAGUUCGUCGACUUAAGCUCGGCGUAUUCUCAAGUUCCGCGUGAAUACCUCUUGGCCGUGGCAUCCGGGCACAUCGCUGUUGUCGGGACCAAAGUAUUCGAGUUGUCACCUUUGCCGAUAGUAAGGUCAAAUCGGCUGGCACGCCUUAACAUUUGAAAUCGGGUAUUAGCCCUUUGUGUUUGCAGAUCCACUUUUGCAUCAACACAUCUUUUGGCACGC
RNAcentral lists this long non-coding RNA (243 nucleotides) under Sorghum bicolor (sorghum). Its description in RNAcentral is "long non-coding RNA (SBIC_LNC017827)". The record is from RNAcentral. Lineage: Eukaryota; Viridiplantae; Streptophyta; Magnoliopsida; Poales; Poaceae.